Molecule: ribosomal RNA, 791 nt
Filed under: uncultured Pelagibacteraceae bacterium
Lineage: Bacteria; Pseudomonadati; Pseudomonadota; Alphaproteobacteria; Candidatus Pelagibacterales; Candidatus Pelagibacteraceae
Description: bacterial SSU rRNA
Rfam family: Bacterial small subunit ribosomal RNA
Source: RNAcentral
ACGCCUAAUACAUGCAAGUCGAACGGGGUAGCAAUACCUAGUGGCAGACGGGUGAGUAACAUGUGGGUACCUUCCCUUUGGUGAGGAAUAACACGAGGAAACUUGUGCUAAUACCUCAUAAGUCUUUACGGAGAAAGCUUUAUGCGCCAAUGGAUGGGCCCGCACUUGAUUAGUUAGUUGGUAGGGUAAUGGCCUACCAAGACUUUGAUCAAUAGCUGAUUUGAGAGGAUGAUCAGCCACAUUGGGACUGAGACACGGCCCAAACUCCUACGGGAGGCAGCAGUAGGGAAUCUUGCACAAUGGAGGAAACUCUGAUGCAGCGAUGCCGCGUGAGUGAAGAAGGCCCUUGGGUUGUAAAGCUCUUUCGUCGGGGAAGAAAAUGACUGUACCCGAAUAAGAAGGUCCGGCUAACUUCGUGCCAGCAGCCGCGGUAAUACGAAGGGACCUAGCGUAGUUCGGAAUUACUGGGCUUAAAGAGUUCGUAGGUGGUUAAAAAAGUUGGUGGUGAAAUCCCAGAGCUUAACUCUGGAACUGCCAUCAAAACUUUUUAGCUAGAGUAUGAUAGAGGAAAGCAGAAUUUCUAGUGUAGAGGUGAAAUUCGUAGAUAUUAGAAAGAAUACCAAUUGCGAAGGCAGCUUUCUGGAUCAUUACUGACGCUGAGGAACGAAAGCAUGGGUAGCGAAGAGGAUUAGAUACCCUCGUAGUCCAUGCCGUAAACGAUGUGUGUUAGAUGUUGGAAAUUUAUUUUCAGUAUCGCAGCGAAAGCGUUAAACACACCGCCUGGGGAGUAC